Molecule: ribosomal RNA, 301 nt
Filed under: uncultured bacterium
Lineage: Bacteria
Description: partial 16S ribosomal RNA
Rfam family: Bacterial small subunit ribosomal RNA
Source: RNAcentral
CAGUAGCCGCGGUAAUACGUAGGUCCCGAGCGUUGUCCGGAUUUAUUGGGCGUAAAGCGAGCGCAGGCGGUUAGAUAAGUCUGAAGUUAAAGGCUGUGGCUUAACCAUAGUACGCUUUGGAAACUGUUUAACUUGAGUGCAAGAGGGGAGAGUGGAAUUCCAUGUGUAGCGGUGAAAUGCGUAGAUAUAUGGAGGAACACCGGUGGCGAAAGCGGCUCUCUGGUCUGUAACUGACGCUGAGGCUCGAAAGCGUGGGGAGCGAACAGGAUUAGAUACCCCGUAGUCCCUGUCUCUUAUACAC